AGAGUUUGAUUAUGGCUCAGGAUGAACGCUGACAGAAUGCUUAACACAUGCAAGUCUACUUGAUCCUUCGGGUGAUGGUGGCGGACGGGUGAGUAACGCGUAAAGAACUUGCCCUGCAGUCUGGGACAACAUUUGGAAACGAAUGCUAAUACCGGAUAUUAUGUGAGUUUCGCAUGAAAUUCAUAUGAAAGCUAUAUGCGCUGCAGGAGAGCUUUGCGUCCUAUUAGCUAGUUGGUGAGGUAACGGCUCACCAAGGCGAUGAUAGGUAGCCGGCCUGAGAGGGUGAACGGCCACAAGGGGACUGAGACACGGCCCUU
RNAcentral lists this ribosomal RNA (317 nucleotides) under uncultured bacterium. RNAcentral describes it as "bacterial SSU rRNA". It matches the Rfam family "Bacterial small subunit ribosomal RNA", at positions 8 to 334 of the family's 1533-position model. The record is from RNAcentral.